AGCAGCUGUGGUAAUUCCAGCUCCAAUAGCGUAUAUUAAAGUUGUUGCAGUUAAAAAGCUCGUAGUUGAAUUUCGGGGUUAGUAGGUUGGUCGUGCCACCGGUAUGUACUGGUCUCACUGAUUCCUCCUUCCUGAUGAACCGUAAUGCCAUUAAUUUGGUAUUGCAGGGAGACUGGACUGUUACUUCGAAAAAAUUAGAGUGUUUAAAGUAGGCUAACGCUUGAAUACAUUAGCAUGGAAUAACAGAAUAGAACGUUCGAUCUUAUUUUGUGGUUUCUAAGAUUGAUGUAAUGAUUAAUAGGGAUAGUUGGGGUAUUAGUAUUCAAUUGUCAGAGGUGAAAUUCUUGGAUUUAUUGAAGACUAACUACUGUGAAAGCAUUUGCCAAGGAUGUUUUCAUUAAUCAAGAACGAAAGUUAGGGGAUCGAAGACGAUCAGAUACCAUCGUAGUCUUAACCAUAAACUAUGCUGACUAGGGAUCGGAUGAUAUAAUUUUUUAAUGACUCAUUUCA
This 510-nucleotide small RNA is filed under the name uncultured Glomus. RNAcentral describes it as "SSU rRNA". It matches the Rfam family "Eukaryotic small subunit ribosomal RNA", at positions 569 to 1083 of the family's 1831-position model. Lineage: Eukaryota; Fungi; Glomeromycota; Glomeromycetes; Glomerales; Glomeraceae. The record is from RNAcentral.